GGGGAUAUAGCUCAGUGGUAGAGCACUCGCUUUGCAAGCGAGAGGCCCGGUAUCUCCA
RNAcentral lists this transfer RNA (58 nucleotides) under Strigamia maritima. It matches the Rfam family "tRNA". From Rfam's summary of the family: Transfer RNA (tRNA) molecules are approximately 80 nucleotides in length. Their secondary structure includes four short double-helical elements and three loops (D, anti-codon, and T loops). Lineage: Eukaryota; Metazoa; Arthropoda; Chilopoda; Geophilomorpha; Linotaeniidae. The record is from Rfam by way of RNAcentral.